RNAcentral lists this microRNA (20 nucleotides) under Plutella xylostella (diamondback moth). RNAcentral describes it as "pxy-miR-8500". The record is from miRBase by way of RNAcentral. Lineage: Eukaryota; Metazoa; Arthropoda; Insecta; Lepidoptera; Plutellidae.
AUGCAAUUUCGUUGGUUGAU